CAAAGAGCUUCUUUAAAAAUGUAGCUUAUAGAGAUCAAUAUUCACAUUAUUAGAAAUUAAGCCCUGUAAGAUGUUUCAAUGUAGCAAUUUCUAGCUUACAAAUCUGUAAUAACUUUUGCCUUUUAAAGGGUUUGUCUAAUUUGUAAUGUCUAAAAAUUGACUUCCGCCUUCUUCAAACUCUGACCAAGGGGUCUCAAGUGACGCAGCGGUCUCGCUGGGUUCACAGUAAGACUCUGGGCUCGACUAGCCUUUCUUCAGACUUCUCUUACCCUUCCAGUCUCCACCCUGCUGCCCCUCUGUGUCUGCCCCACAUUGCCCAUUUCUAGCAAGAGCCUUGCUAAGGCAGGUUAGACACCCCCCCCAUAUACGCUGGGUAUCCCUCUUGAUAUCACACGCUCACCCCUACUGUGGGUGUCUGCUGGCCCUGGCCAGCCUUCAGCAAGAACCCAAUAGCCCUGUCCCUGGUGUUUCCUCUCAGUGAUUUCCAGCCCCUGACUCCACCCUGCUCCUGGGCUGCAAAUCCUCUCUGGUCCAGGCAGCGCUGGGAAUGGGCCAGUGCCAUCCCCAUACCUCUUCCCUCCCGUGGCAGUGGUUCCUGAAUAAAACCUGUCUUGACUGCCUCACCGGCUACUGUCCUGCUGAGAGCCACCGCAGAGUCUGUAUGGCCCCUGGCAUUUUGCCAACAGUAUUGAUUGACAGGCGAGGCAUUACUAUCCGCCUCUGCCGCAACUUUUGAGUUCUCGCACUAUUUUGGAGUUCUCGUGGGGAUUUCCGGGGAUUCCCCAAGAGUUCCCAUUGGUUGGGGAAGUGCAGGAGGAGGGAUUUCCGGGAGAGAUUUUUCCGGCUGGGGGUUCCUGGACGAGCCGCGUGGCGUUUGGGAGGAUUCCCCGGGAGCUGUGUGAAGUGUUUUCCUGCAGUUCAAAAAUAAAGUUUGUUCCUGCUUCAGUGGCUCGUGAUUUGUGCCCAGCCAGACUGCGGCACUGUCCAGUACUGGAUUUUCUUUAUAAGAAAGCAUUCUGUUACAGAAGGCUCAACAAG
This 1038-nucleotide long non-coding RNA is filed under the name Marmota monax (woodchuck). The record is from RNAcentral. Lineage: Eukaryota; Metazoa; Chordata; Mammalia; Rodentia; Sciuridae.